RNAcentral lists this ribosomal RNA (477 nucleotides) under uncultured bacterium. Its description in RNAcentral is "bacterial SSU rRNA". It matches the Rfam family "Bacterial small subunit ribosomal RNA", at positions 15 to 518 of the family's 1533-position model. The record is from RNAcentral.
GAUUCUGGCUCAGAACGAACGCUGCGGCAGGCUUAACACAUGCAAGUUGAACGGGAUUCUAGAGUAGCUUGCUAUUUGGAUGAGAGUGGCGCACGGGUGAGUAAUACGUGGGAACAUACCUAUUGGUGGGGGAUAACGCUGGGAAACUGGUGCUAAUACCGCAUAAGCCCUACGGGGGAAAGAUUAAUUGCCGAUAGAAUGGCCCGCGGCAGAUUAGGCAGUUGGUGGGGUAAAGGCCUACCAAACCGACGAUCUGUAGCUGGUCUGAGAGGACGAUCAGCCACAUUGGGACUGAGACACGGCCCAGACUCCUACGGGAGGCAGCAGUGGGGAAUAUUGGGCAAUGGGCGAAAGCCUGACCCAAGCAACGCCGCGUGAGUGAAGAAGGCUUUCGGGUUGUAAAGCUCUGUUAUAGGUGACGAAGGAAGUGACGGUAGCCUAUAAGGAAGCCCCGGCUAACUACGUGCCAGCAGCUGC